AGAGAAUUGACCGAGUGGUUUAUGGUGGUAAGCUUGAGUCUUAUUUGGCUAUUAAAGUCACAUCCGUUCGAAUCGGAUAUUCUCUG
Molecule: transfer RNA, 86 nt
Filed under: Arthonia rubella
Lineage: Eukaryota; Fungi; Ascomycota; Arthoniomycetes; Arthoniales; Arthoniaceae
Description: tRNA-Ser
Source: RNAcentral